UGGCGGACGGGUGAGUAACGCGUGGGUAACCUGCCCUGUACAGGGGGAUAACAGUUAGAAAUGACUGCUAACACCGCAUAAGCGCACGGUAAGGCAUCUUAGUGUGUGAAAAUAUUAAUAGGUACAGGAUGGGCCCGCGUCUGAUUAGCCAGUUGGCAGGGUAACGGCCUACCAAAGCGACGAUCAGUAGCCGGCUUGAGAGAGUGAACGGCCACAUUGGGACUGAGACACGGCCCAAACUCCUACGGGAGGCAGCAG
This 258-nucleotide ribosomal RNA is filed under the name uncultured bacterium. RNAcentral describes it as "partial 16S ribosomal RNA". It matches the Rfam family "Bacterial small subunit ribosomal RNA", at positions 96 to 354 of the family's 1533-position model. The record is from RNAcentral.